This is a non-coding RNA of Nicotiana sylvestris (wood tobacco), 96 nucleotides long. Lineage: Eukaryota; Viridiplantae; Streptophyta; Magnoliopsida; Solanales; Solanaceae. The record is from Rfam.
UGGACAAAUUAUUGUAUUCGGUUGUAUUCACAGUGUGAAACAGGGGGUUACACUAUUUUUAAACGGAAAGUGAAUUAAUUAACAUAAUAGACUCCU